This 518-nucleotide long non-coding RNA is filed under the name Equus caballus (horse). RNAcentral describes it as "lncRNA (ENSECAG00000038965.3)". The record is from RNAcentral. Lineage: Eukaryota; Metazoa; Chordata; Mammalia; Perissodactyla; Equidae.
UUUUUCUAUAUUCUUGCUAAUGUUUCUGGUAAUAAAAGACAGGAAAAACAUAAAAAUGCAAACUGGGUAUUUGUGAUGUCUCAUCAAACUGGCUUCCUAUCAAGUAGGAUUCUUCCAGAUUUCCCUAACAUUUGAGCUGUGAAGCAGCUUGAGUGAAAGCCAAGCUUCAGAAUAGUGGGGAUAGUUCGACUGGACCAAAAAUGUGUUUGUCCAGCUGAAACUAGAGAUUGGGAGCAAACCCAAGUGAUAAAGUCAUUAUGGAGACUGAUUGCGAUGCUUUUUCCAGUUGGAACAAGUGAAAUGGCAGAAAACAGAGUAAACACGUGCCAGUUCAUGGUCCAUGAGGGGUGUUCUUCCUUUGCUGAUAAGACCCCAAGAGACAGAACUGCCCAAGAACCAGCCAUUUGUCCGGAGCAAAGAGUCAGUGAAGAAAGGCCGCACUGUGGGGAGCUGACCUCUGACUCUGGAGCAGCGCUCCAGUGGAGGUUCCUGCACUCUCCUGGAGGUAAACCUUCUGC